Molecule: ribosomal RNA, 431 nt
Filed under: uncultured bacterium
Lineage: Bacteria
Description: bacterial SSU rRNA
Rfam family: Bacterial small subunit ribosomal RNA
Source: RNAcentral
GUUAGGAAUAUUCGUCAAUGGGGGAAACCCUGAACGAGCAAUGCCGCGUGAACGAUGAAGGUCCUUUGGAUCGUAAAGUUCUGUUGUUUGGGAAGAAUUGCCAGAGUAGGAAAUGACUUUGGUUUGACUGUACCAUUCGAGAAAGCCCCGGCUAACUACGUGCCAGCAGCCGCGGUAAUACGUAGGGGGCGAGCGUUAUCCGGAUUUAUUGGGCGUAAAGCGUGCGUAGGCUGUUUAUCAAGUCUAAGAUUAAAGCCCGAGGCUCAACCUCGGUUCGUCUUAGAAACUGGUAGACUUGAGUAUGGUAGAGGUAAAUGGAAUUUCUAGUGUAGCGGUAGAAUGCGUAGAUAUUAGAAGGAACACCAGUGGCGAAGGCGAUUUACUGGGCCAUUACUGACGCUGAGGCACGAAAGCGUGGGGAGCAAAUAGGA